RNAcentral lists this unclassified non-coding RNA (337 nucleotides) under soil metagenome. Its description in RNAcentral is "partial contains 5.8S ribosomal RNA, internal transcribed spacer 2, and large subunit ribosomal RNA". The stretch from base 1 to 120 matches the Rfam family "5.8S ribosomal RNA", at positions 35 to 154 of the family's 154-position model. The record is from RNAcentral.
GAUGAAGAACGUAGUGAAAUGCGAUAAGUAAUGUGAAUUGCAGAAUUCAGUGAAUCAUCGAAUCUUUGAACGCACAUUGCGCCCGCCAGUAUUCUGGCGGGCAUGCCUGUUCGAGCGUCAUUUCAACCAUCAAGCCCCCGGGCUUGUGUUGGAGACCUGCGGCUGCCGCAGGCCCUGAAAAGCAGUGGCGGGCUCGCUGUCACACCGAGCGUAGUAGAUUUUAUCUCGCUCUGGGCGUGCUGCGGGUUCCGGCCGUUAAACCACCCUUUUAACCCAAGGUUGACCUCGGAUCAGGUAGGAAGACCCGCUGAACUUAAGCAUAUCAAUAAGCGGAGGA